Long non-coding RNA from Biomphalaria glabrata, 3402 nucleotides. RefSeq lists it as uncharacterized. Lineage: Eukaryota; Metazoa; Mollusca; Gastropoda; Planorbidae. The record is from RefSeq and is a predicted model, not a curated record. The transcript is spliced from 10 exons.
AAAUAAAAAAACAACAACAUGUAAAAUAGAAUAAAUGAGACUGCAUAGAGUUGAUAAAGUAAGCUUACACUGUUACACUAGAAACAAACAGAUAAGUUUAAAGUCAGGCCACUGAUUUUAGAGAUUUAAUGUUAUUUAAUUAAGAGAAUUCAAAACAUAAAUGAAAAAAUUACAAUGAGACUAAUAAAGCUUAAACUGACCCCAUGGUACCAAACACAGGAUUUUUUUUUAUAGUACUGGUAACUGAGGAAGGUUUAUUACAGGCAUGAGUUUGAUCUUUUUGAAACUAAUUCCUAAAAAAAUGUUUUCCUAGGCAACUUCAAAACUACGGUACUUUGUCAACUAUCCAGAGAUUCAGGGGAAUGAAAUCUUAGACUAUUUAUAAUUAAGAUGUUCCUUCAGAGUUGAAAACAACUACAUUCUAGCUUGAACUUCCCACAAGAAGAUGUGGGGUGGCAGCAGGCAGGGGUCUAACCUAGGAUCAUGGAGACCACCAAACAAUAGUGUUUAUGAUUAAUUGAGUAGACAAAGAAAGGAUGGAUUACUGGAGCUAAAAGAAGGCAUAAUUUAACAAUAGACUACUUUGGGAUAUGGAAUGAGAGAGGCUAUAGUGUUGAUUAAAUAAAUAUGUAGGUCUCAGCUGGGGCUGCACAGCCAUGGGAAAUACUGCAUCUUGGGUCUUAUUAUAAAGCUGCCAUUAUCCAAGGACAUAUGAUUCUCUGGAGGCUUACAUCACUGGAAAAAGUCUUUGGGCCCCUGAAGAUUACAGUACAUGUAAUGCUGCAAAAGGAGGAGGAUGCUGGGCCAGGCACAUACAACUCAAUUUACUUCUAUUGGCUGGAAAUAUUUAAAGCAUGACAGUGGCGUAGGUAAAUUACCAAAUAGUGGAUCUUAUGUUGGAUUGAUCAGCCCUGAUGAACUGACCUGACCAUUGUAAUUGAAACCAUAACUCAUGACCACUCUAUCUGUAUAGGUCCUGGUAUACCCUGGGAUGAUGUUCACCCACAACUUUUAACUUGAAAUCUUAAAGGAAGUUUUGCUAAACUAACAAGCAUGAAUGUCUGGUACAGUAAGAUAGGGUUAAUGGUCAACCUGACAUUAUGGUUCAUUCAUUGGGACAGCUAAUGUUUGUGUCUGACCUAGCAGUUCUCAAGUUAGGGCUUGAUGAAGUCUACAAACUGACCAUUAUAUCUACUGGACAAAAAGGAUCAUAUUCUGACCCCCUCCCUCCCAACCAUUUCGUCUGCCUUAUCUUGAUGACUUUGAAGGGUACAAAUGCACUUGGAGCUUUUGAUGGUGUUCUGUUCAAUGCAACAAUUCCCACAUCUCCAGCAGCUGGCUUUGCAGCUAUUGGCGCAGACAGCUAUGGCUUGGAUGAUUUUGAUAAUUAUCUGCUUCCGCUCUUCAAAACUCAAACGCGCGUCUGCCAUGUUGCAGUUAAUUCCUUGCCACUCUGGUACUGUGUGUGGUACAGAACCACCUUCACAUUUAUUUUUCUAAUUAGACAUUAAGCUUUCCAUGUGCUGAAAUUUAGCAGCAAAUUGUCUAUGACAGUUCAAAGUGUGUAUACAUUUUUUUGGACGCACCCUGUAUAUAUAUUGUAUUCAGUGAUUUUUUACCAUUUUCUAAUAUUAGUUUGUUAGCUCAAUAACUAUUAACCUUUUAGAUUGUUAUCUUUCGUAAUGUUAAGACUAGAAAACAAGAUCUCAAAAUUAUAUUUAGGACGAUGAUUACAAUUACUUAGUCAAUUACUUAGAUAAAAUAAUUAUAAAACAAAAGUUAUAUAAAGACAUAAUUAUACAAUGUUUAUGUAACGUUGAGAAAUUAGCGAUUGGUUGGCGGAUAUGCAGUGAGGAUGGUGAAAUUACAAAAAUGGUCUAGUGUAAUGCAAAUUACCCAGGGAUCUGAAACUGUACAGACAGGUUUUUUGUAGUGAGUUAGAUUUUGUUUAAAAUACCAUUUUAUAUUAUUGCUACUAGAUUUAUUUCAUUUCAUCUAGGUUAGUAUUAGGGUUAGUGUUAUGUUGUAAUAAAAGUUAUAUUUAGUUUUGUUUCAAAAAAGAAGUUUUUUCAAGUUUCACAAUUAAAUAUAUAUAUAUAUAUCCAAGCAGUAGUUCUCACCAAACUUUCAUACACUGGCAGAACUACCUUAAAAAAAUGUUCUGCUGGAGGCUGGUGUGGGUAGUAUAGAAGAAAUACUUAUUCAACAGCUGUGAUGGGUUGGAAAAUUAUCCCACAUGGGGGGCGACUGCAUGCCAAAUGGUAUCUUCAAGGAUGGCGUAACGGGGUACUCCUGUAAGCACUAUAAAGAUUAACUCAGGCACCUUUUUGCCAUAGAGGAAAGUAGGUUGUAAUAGGGUUUAUGAAAACACUGCACUCAUCUUUUAUCUUCAGCAUCAUUAUUAUUAUUAAACCAUUACUCAAAUUUUGCUUUGUUAUUUUGCCAUGUAGCGAUUUACUGCUGCUGGGGUGAACAAUGCUUAAAAAAAUAAAAAUAUGCUGUGUUUUUACUUUGGCCCAGCGGUGGCUCCCACAUUUAUGUCUUUUGUAUUUUUCUUUACCAGUUCUGUUACUAUGCAAAUGCAAAAAAAAAAAAAUGCAAGUUGUUGCACUAUUGAUAUUUUUUAUACUAAUUUUUUAUUUAUAUUAUUAAUUAUUUAUUAUUAUCUAAGCAUCUGUUUGUAUUUGAGCUGGGUAAUGAAUAUAGAUUCUUAAAUUUAAUUGUUGUUUGUUGCUUUACUCACUUUUAAACUGUGACCAUGUAAAUUUUGUCUAGCAGGAGAAUGGUAAUGUCUUAGUGUUAAUGAUUAGAUUGAGAAUGGUAAUGUCUUAGUGUCAAUGAUAACAGUGAGAAUGGUAAUGUCUUAGUGUCAAUGAUAACAGUGAGAAUGGUAAUGUCUUAGUGUUAUUGAUUAGAUUGAUAAUGGUAAUGUCUUAGUGUCAAUGAUUACAUUGAGAAUAGUAAUGUCUUAGUGCCAAUGAUAACACUGAGACAAUCAUUACAUUGAGAAUAGUAAUGUCUUAGUGCCAAUGAUAACACUGAGACAAUCAUUAGAUUGAGGAUGGUAAUGUCUUAGUGUCAAUGGUGUAACAAUAUGAUUAGAGUGAGAUGCACGAGAUGAUUUCAGUUCACGUGAAAAUGGGUCUUACACAUUGUCAAGCAAAGAGGUACCAUUUUUGAUCACAUGAUCACAUUUUUUUAGUAAGUUAGCGCCAUGAUGUAUCAAGAGACGUAGGUGUCUCUGUUUUAUGAAAUUGGAUUAAAUAAUAUGAGUACCUAAUUGGAGAUAUUUCUAUGGAUGUAGUUUGUAUUUGAUGUGAAAUAAUUCGUGAUGAUAUUUUAUGGCUGAGAUUGCCUACUUUCUGAACUAUUAUUUGAUGUAAUAAAUAUUUGUCUGCCAGA